This 79-nucleotide non-coding RNA is filed under the name Methylomonas sp. RNAcentral describes it as "c-di-GMP sequence". It matches the Rfam family "c-di-GMP-I-GGC riboswitch aptamer". Lineage: Bacteria; Pseudomonadati; Pseudomonadota; Gammaproteobacteria; Methylococcales; Methylococcaceae. RNAcentral also lists the same sequence under 1 other name. The record is from RNAcentral.
AUUGCAAUUGCCAAACCCGUUGCGAAGCGGGGACGGAAAGCCACGGGUCUUGGAUGUCGAGACAGCCGGGUUGCCGCCA